CCUACGGGAGGCACCAGUGGGGAAUAUUGCACAAUGGGCGCAAGCCUGAUGCAGCCAUGCCGCGUGUAUGAAGAAGGCCUUCGGGUUGUAAAGUACUUUCAGCGGGGAGUAAGGCGAUAAGGUUAAUAACCUUGUCGAUUGAAGUUACCCGCAGAAGAAGCACCGGCUAACUCCGUGCCAACAGCCGCGGCAAUACGGAGGGUGCAAGCGUUAAUCGGAAUUACUGGGCGUAAAGCGCACGCAGGCGGUCUGUCAAGUCGGAUGUGAAAUCCCCGGGCUCAACCUGGGAACUGCAUUCGACACUGGCAGGCUAGAGUCUUGUAGAGGGGGGUAGAAUUCCAGGUGUAGCGGUGAAAUGCGUAGAGAUUUGGAGGAAUACCGGUGGCGAAGGCGGCCCCCUGGACAAAGACUGGCGCUCAGGUGCGAAAGCGUGGGGAGCAAACAGGAUUAGAUACCCCUGUAGUC
RNAcentral lists this ribosomal RNA (465 nucleotides) under uncultured bacterium. RNAcentral describes it as "bacterial SSU rRNA". It matches the Rfam family "Bacterial small subunit ribosomal RNA", at positions 338 to 795 of the family's 1533-position model. The record is from RNAcentral.